UUCGACGAUGACGAGCCCAUCGAGAAGCCUCCGGCGGUGCCACUCGACGGCCGGAGCGCCAGCCGAGAAGCCCUCGUGCUCAAGACGCACUGUGAGCGCCCAGCCGUCGCGAGGUGCUCGGCCCAUGACGGCUUCGCCGUGCUGGUGCACGCCAAAGCUCCAGGCGCGGCGUCCAACGCCGAAAAGACGCCGGUCGACCUUGUGACGGUGCUCGACGUCAGCGGGAGCAUGGAGGGCCGCAAGCUCGAGCUACUCAAGGACGCGAUGGGGUUCCUCGUGGACAAUCUCGGCCCUGCCGACCGCCUCAGCGUCGUGUCCUUCUCGAACGACGGUCGCCGUGUCACCCCGCUGACGCGCAUGUCGAACGCCGGGAAGGCCUCUGCGAAGCUCGCCGUGCAGUCGCUCGUGGCCGGUGGUGGCACGGAUAUCCUCAAGGGCCUUAAGAAGGCCGCCAAGGUGCUCGACAGCCGCCGGCACAAGAAUGUCGUUGCCGGCGUCAUUCUCCUCUCCGAUGGCCAGGACAACUACUUGUGGCGAAGGAGCUACCGAGAUCUGGUGCCAAGUUCCCUGCGGAACGACGACGGCCGCUCAACCGCGCCGAUCCACACAUUCGGCUUCGGCACCGACCACGAUCCGGCGGCCAUGCACGCCAUCGCCGAGCUAACGGGUGGCUCAUACUCCUUCAUCGAGAACCAGGCCGUGGUGCAAGACGCGUUCGCCCAGUGCAUCGGCGGGCUCCUUUCGGUCGCCGCCCAGCAGGCACGGAUAGCCAUUGAGUGCAUCCACGAGGUGCGCGUCCGAACCGUCAAAUCCGGUCGCUACAAAAGCCGUGUCCUCCCGGACGGCCGUGCAGCCUCGGUGGACGUUGGCGAGCUCUAUGCCGAUGAAGAGAGACGCUUCCUGCUGUUCAUGGACGUGCCGAGGGUCGUCGAUGAGGCCAUGACCACAUGCCUUGUCAAGGUGAGCUGCACUUACAUAGACACGAAGACUGGGAAGUCGAUGGAGGUGGCCGCGGAGGAUCCCGUGGUGCGAAGGCCGUUAGAGGUGACGGUUGAGGAGCCGUCCAUGGAGGUCAACGUGGAGCGUUUCCGGGUGGAGGCGAUGGAAGACAUUGCAGCAGCGCGGGCAGCCGCCGAGCAUGGUGACCACGCCAAGGCCGCAAGGAUACUGGACAUGCGCCAGAAGGCUGCGGUGGGCGAUUUGGCCGGCGACCCCCGGUGCAGGGCGCUAGUGCACGAGCUGGCCGAGCUCAGCGCCCGUGUGGCGACCGCUCACGAGUACGAGCGAACAGGCCGCUCAACCAUGCUAUCCGGCAUGAGCUCCCAUGGGGGGCAGCGCGCCUCGUGUGCUAGUCUGUUUGGCACCAUGGCGUCGGCGCCCAUGUUUGCAGGAUCGGCGGCGCCAUUUGGGGCGGCGGCAGGAGCGUUUGCGACACCAGCGUGA
RNAcentral lists this ribosomal RNA (1443 nucleotides) under Triticum aestivum (bread wheat). RNAcentral describes it as "partial small subunit ribosomal RNA". The record is from RNAcentral. Lineage: Eukaryota; Viridiplantae; Streptophyta; Magnoliopsida; Poales; Poaceae.